GGAUGUGAGGGAGAUCUGGCUGUGACAUCUGUCACCUCAUUGAUCGCCAGGGUUGAUUUGUCUUACCUGGCUGGCUAGGCAGCUGUCUGCUUCCUCCUUUGCCAUUCCAGGUGUGUCCCUCCAGAAGUUGCAUUCUGGGUAAGGGAACGACCAUCCCCCAUAGAGGACCAGUAUUUAGUCAAGGGUGUAUAUCAAUAGCUGUAUUCCCCUACUAGAACCUCCAAAUAAGCUCUCAAGAGUAAAUAACCCUUAACUGCUGGUCUGAGGGGAUUAUGGAUUUAAAUGUGUACGUGUGUAUGUAUAAUAUAUAUACAUAAAUAUGUGUGUGUGUGUAUAUAUAU
Molecule: small nuclear RNA, 341 nt
Filed under: Theropithecus gelada (gelada)
Lineage: Eukaryota; Metazoa; Chordata; Mammalia; Primates; Cercopithecidae
Description: 7SK RNA (ENSTGEG00000012684.1)
Rfam family: 7SK RNA
About the family: 7SK was discovered as an abundant small nuclear RNA in the mid-70s but a possible function has only recently been suggested. Two independent studies have found that 7SK RNA binds the CDK9/cyclin T complex (known as elongation factor P-TEFb).
Source: Rfam by way of RNAcentral